GGAGUCUGGGCCGUAUCUCAGUCCCAAUGUGGCCGUUCAACCUCUCAGUCCGGCUACUGAUCGUCGACUUGGUGGGCCGUUACCUCACCAACUAUCUAAUCAGACGCGAGCCCAUCUCAGAGCGAUAAAUCUUUGACUCUCAGAAGAUGCCUUCCAAAAGUUUUAUGCGGUAUUAGCAGCCGUUUCCAGCUGUUGUCCCCCUCUCUGAGGCAGGUUGCUCACGCGUUACUCACCCGUCCGCCACUAAGUCAUACCUUCCGUUGACCGAAGUCUCCUUCCAAUAUGCUUCGUUCGACUUGCAUGUGUUAGGCACGCCGCCAGCGUUCAUC
RNAcentral lists this ribosomal RNA (329 nucleotides) under uncultured Lachnospiraceae bacterium. Its description in RNAcentral is "partial 16S ribosomal RNA". The record is from RNAcentral. Lineage: Bacteria; Bacillati; Bacillota; Clostridia; Lachnospirales; Lachnospiraceae.